AGAGAUGUGUGAUGACGCAUAUCAAUAAGCGGAGGAAAAGAAACUAACAAGGAUUCCCUUAGUAACGGCGAGUGAAGCGGGAAGAGCUCAAAUUUGAAAUCUUCAAGGUUCUACCUUGACGAAUUGUAGUUUAUAGAAGUGUUUUCUGUUAGUAGAGUGGCAAAAGUUCUUUGGAAUAGGACAUCAUAGAGGGUGAGAAUCCCGUAUUUGGUCAUUCUUUCUAGCUUUGUGAUACACUUUCAACGAGUCGGAUUGUUUGGGAAUGCAGUCCAAAAUGGGUGGUAAAUUUCAUCUAAAGCUAAAUAUUGGCGAGAGACCGAUAGCGAACAAGUACCGUGAGGGAAAGAUGAAAAGAACUUUGAAAAGAGAGUUAAACAGUACGUGAAAUUGUCAAAAGGGAAGCGUUUGACACCAGUGUUGUUUUUCCGAAAAUCAAUUACGAAUGUUUUAUUUUUGAGAAGUUAUGACUUCAUCGGCUUGCUUCUCUCUUUAUGAAACUUUCUUAAUGCACUUUUCGGUUAACAAGUCAACAUCAAUUUCUUUUGUUGUAAAAGGGUAUGAGGAAGGUGGCUUUCUUUUCGGAGAAAGUGUUUAUAGCCUUGUACCUCUGCAAUCGGAGAGAUUGAGGUCUGCAGCGUAGAUCCUUCGGGGUUAGAUACAUUUGUGCUAAGUUAUAGCUUUUCAUAGACAACUUGUUGACUAUGUUUAGUCUUGUAGCUUACUCGCUUAUGCUAUUUUACCUACGCUUAGGAUGUUGAAGAUGUAGCACAUCAU
RNAcentral lists this ribosomal RNA (774 nucleotides) under uncultured Neocallimastigales. RNAcentral's name for it is "partial large subunit ribosomal RNA". It matches the Rfam family "Eukaryotic large subunit ribosomal RNA", at positions 23 to 643 of the family's 3401-position model. The record is from RNAcentral. Lineage: Eukaryota; Fungi; Neocallimastigomycota; Neocallimastigomycetes; Neocallimastigales.